ACGAGCGCUGGCGGCGUGCUUAACACAUGCAAGUCGAACGGGCCUUGUCCCCUUUUUUUUGGGGGUGGGGUUAGUGGCGAACGGGUGAGUAACACGUGAGUAACCUGCCCCUCACUUCUGGAUAACCGCUUGAAAGGGUGGCUAAUACGGGGUGUUCUGGCCUGCUCGCAUGGGUGGGUUUGGAAAGAUUCGACCGGUUUUGGUUGUUUUGGUGGGGGAUGGGCUCGCGGCCUAUCAGCUUGUUGGUGGGGUGAUGGCCUGCCAAGGCUUUGACGGGUAGCCGGCCUGAGAGGGUGGGCGGUCACACUGGGACUGAGACACGGCCCAGACUCCUACGGGAGGCAGCAGUGGGGAAUAUUGCACAAUGGGCGCAAGCCUGAUGCAGCGACGCCGCGUGAGGGAUGGAGGCCUUCGGGUUGUGAACCUCUUUCGCCAGUGAAGAAGGUCCUGCUCUUUGUGGUGGGGUUGACGGUAGCUGGGUUAAUGAAGCGCCGGCUAACUACGUG
RNAcentral lists this ribosomal RNA (506 nucleotides) under uncultured bacterium. RNAcentral describes it as "partial 16S ribosomal RNA". It matches the Rfam family "Bacterial small subunit ribosomal RNA", at positions 29 to 507 of the family's 1533-position model. The record is from RNAcentral.